GGGUGAGUAACACGUGGAUAACCUACCUAUAAGACUGGGAUAACUUCGGGAAACCGGAGCUAAUACCGGAUAAUAUUUUGAACCGCAUUGUUCAAAAGUGAAAGACGGUCUUGCUGUCACUUAUAGAUGGAUCCGCGCUGCAUUAGCUAGUUGGUAAGGUAACGGCUUACCAAGGCAACGAUGCAUAGCCGACCUGAGAGGGUGAUCGGCCACACUGGAACUGAGACACGGUCCAG
Molecule: ribosomal RNA, 236 nt
Filed under: uncultured Staphylococcus sp.
Lineage: Bacteria; Bacillati; Bacillota; Bacilli; Caryophanales; Staphylococcaceae
Description: partial 16S ribosomal RNA
Rfam family: Bacterial small subunit ribosomal RNA
Source: RNAcentral